GCCAGGGGAGCUUGGGCGGUUCAAGCACUCGACUUGUAAUCGAGAUUCCCGGGGUUCAAAUCCCUGCCCUGGCU
Molecule: non-coding RNA, 74 nt
Organism: Halosimplex carlsbadense 2-9-1
Lineage: Archaea; Methanobacteriati; Methanobacteriota; Halobacteria; Halobacteriales; Haloarculaceae
Source: Rfam